Long non-coding RNA from Oncorhynchus nerka (sockeye salmon), 1017 nucleotides. RefSeq lists it as uncharacterized. The transcript has 3 exons. The record is from RefSeq and is a predicted model, not a curated record. NCBI's taxonomy places the organism in Eukaryota, Metazoa, Chordata, Actinopteri, Salmoniformes, Salmonidae.
UUUGCCAUUGCAAAGUUAUGGCUUGGUCAGCUGUAAGUAACCUUUUGGGUGAACUGAUUUUUCGCUACAGCUAGCUAGUUAUCCCUUUCGAGUAAGUUACCCGACGUUGACAGCAAACAUCACACAUAAAAUGUUGCUUCAUUCUAAAUACCGCAUAGUGUUUGUGGAUUGCGUGCUAGCCAGCAAGAUAGCAGUACCAACCCAGCAAGAACUAUGUAUGCGCGGUUUGCAAUGGAUAACGUUCGCUAGCUAAGUACGCUAUUGCUAGCUGGAAUAUUCGUCAUGUCGACUAGAUAUCAUCCUCCCUGCUUCCCAGGCAACCAUCACAGGAGGAAUGCUGUAAUACAAAAACAGCUUUCCCAAGGCAAAGAAGGAUAUUCUGUGAAGACAGACUCAACAUUCUGCUACGCAGACAGGCUUCUGGAUCUCAUCUUGGAUCAAUGUCCCCCUUGAUCCAGCGCCGUAUGUGGGGAAGCUGUGCGAGCUAUCUCCCCAGUGUAAGAGGCCUGACAAGGAGGCCAUAGCUGGAUUUGUCUCCUGCUUCAGUCUUGAGGGGGCGACUGAAGCCAAGUGGGUGACUGACGCCUGCUUGAUUGAAGCAGGGUACAUGGGUCCCCCUCCUCUCCCCAUCAAUCUUUGUAGUUGGUUGCAUUUCCUAAAGCCUUAGUAGUUCACUUUACUUGACAUCACAUCAUUUUGUUACUUUUUAUAUAAUUUGUCAAGCAUUCGGACUGGAGAUUUGAGUUACAAAUUGAAUAAGUCAGUGGGUCCUGCGCACUGUAGGGACACAAGGGCGGCAGGGUGCCUAUACUAGGUUUAUGGCUGUAAUUACAUUUUUAUGUCAAAUGUCUCAACAUUAUUUCUCACUUUUUUCUCGAGUUUUCAUGUUGAUCAAUAUUUUGGAUAUGCUAGCCUAUUGUAAAUUAUCAAAUGUCUGAUCAAUUCAUACAAUUCUGAAUAUAUAUAGUCAUUUAUAAUGCUAAUGCAGAGGCACCAAUAAAUAGUCCAGUACACUUA